GGGAGUACGGCCGCAAGGUUAAAACUCAAAUGAAUUGACGGGGGCCCGCACAAGCGGUGGAGCAUGUGGUUUAAUUCGAUGCAACGCGAAGAACCUUACCUGGUCUUGACAUCCACAGAACUUUCCAGAGAUGGAUUGGUGCCUUCGGGAACUGUGAGACAGGUGCUGCAUGGCUGUCGUCAGCUCGUGUUGUGAAAUGUUGGGUUAAGUCCCGCAACGAGCGCAACCCUUAUCCUUUGUUGCCAGCGGUCCGGCCGGGAACUCAAAGGAGACUGCCAGUGAUAAACUGGAGGAAGGUGGGGAUGACGUCAAGUCAUCAUGGCCCUUACGACCAGGGCUACACACGUGCUACAAUGGCGCAUACAAAGAGAAGCGACCUCGCGAGAGCAAGCGGACCUCAUAAAGUGCGUCGUAGUCCGGAUUGGAGUCUGCAACUCGACUCCAUGAAGUCGGAAUCGCUAGUAAUCGUGGAUCAGAAUGCCACGGUGAAUACGUUCCCGGGCCUUGUACACACCGCCCGUCACACCAUGGGAGUGGGUUGCAAAAGAAGUAGGUAGCUUAACCUUCGGGAGGGCGCUUACCACUUUGUGAUUCAUGACUGGGGUGAAGUCGUAACAAGGUAACCGUAGGGGAACCUGCGGUUGGAUCAC
This 650-nucleotide ribosomal RNA is filed under the name Escherichia coli. RNAcentral describes it as "partial 16S ribosomal RNA". It matches the Rfam family "Bacterial small subunit ribosomal RNA", at positions 876 to 1526 of the family's 1533-position model. The record is from RNAcentral. Lineage: Bacteria; Pseudomonadati; Pseudomonadota; Gammaproteobacteria; Enterobacterales; Enterobacteriaceae. RNAcentral also lists the same sequence under 1 other name.